CACACGACUCUCGGCAACGGAUAUCUCGGCUCUCGCAUCGAUGAAGAACGUAGCGAAAUGCGAUACCUGGUGUGAAUUGCAGAAUCCCGCGAACCAUCGAGUCUUUGAACGCAAGUUGCGCCCGAGGCCCUCGGGCCGAGGGCACGCCUGCUUGGGCGUCACGC
RNAcentral lists this ribosomal RNA (164 nucleotides) under Chimonobambusa quadrangularis. RNAcentral describes it as "5.8S ribosomal RNA". It matches the Rfam family "5.8S ribosomal RNA". Rfam says of the family: 5.8S ribosomal RNA (5.8S rRNA) is a component of the large subunit of the eukaryotic ribosome. The record is from RNAcentral. Lineage: Eukaryota; Viridiplantae; Streptophyta; Magnoliopsida; Poales; Poaceae.